CUGCACAAUGCCUCCCGGGCUUCUCUUAUGGGCUUGUUGAUGAUGAAAGCCCCAAUGCUUGUGCUGAAGUAGUGCCAUUUAGGUCCCGUUUGGUUUGUAGAAUAGACUUCAGGAAUGGAAUGACUAUUCCU
This is a small nucleolar RNA of Corylus avellana, 131 nucleotides long. RefSeq annotates it as small nucleolar RNA snoR134. Lineage: Eukaryota; Viridiplantae; Streptophyta; Magnoliopsida; Fagales; Betulaceae. The record is from RefSeq and is a predicted model, not a curated record.